This 274-nucleotide ribosomal RNA is filed under the name uncultured bacterium. RNAcentral's name for it is "partial 16S ribosomal RNA". It matches the Rfam family "Bacterial small subunit ribosomal RNA", at positions 523 to 796 of the family's 1533-position model. The record is from RNAcentral.
AUACGGAGGGUGCAAGCGUUGUUCGGAAUUACUGGGCGUAAAGCGCGCGUAGGCGGUCUGUUAUGUCAGAUGUGAAAGUCCUCGGCUCAACCGGGGAAGUGCAUUUGAAACUGGCAGACUUGAGUACUGGAGGGGGUGGUGGAAUUCCCGGUGUGGAGGUGAAAUUCGUAGAUAUCGGGAGGAAUACCGGUGGCGAAGGCGACCACCUGGCCAGAUACUGACGCUGAGGUGCGAAAGCGUGGGGAGCAAACAGGAUUAGAUACCCUAGUAGUCC